AUAAAUAAAUUUUUUAUGAUUUUGGAGAUUUUUUUUAAAUUUAUUUUACAUAUAAAUUUUAGUGUGUAUUUUUAAUUAUUUUAAUAAUAAUUAAUUUAUUUUGUAGUAAUUAACAUUAAAAAUUUAAGAAAUUAAGAUUUAGUAAUAUGUAAAUUAAUAACAAAUUUUGUGCCAGCAGUUGCGGUUAAACAAAAGUUAGAUUAAAUUUUAUUAAAUAUUAAUAAAUAAUAUAAAAUUUUUAAUUUAAAUAUUAAAUUAUUAAGUGAAAUUUUAAUUUAAUUAAAAAUUAUAAUAUAAUAUAUGAUUUAAUAAAUUCUAUUAUAAACUAGGAUUAGAUACCCUAUUAUUAAGAAUUUAAAUAAAAAUAUUAAAAUAGUAUGUAAUUAUUUAUUGAAACUUAAAUAAUAUGGCGGUAUUUUAGUUCAUUUAGAGGAAUCUGUUUAUUAAUUGAUAGUCCACGAAUAACUUUACUUAAUUAAAAAUUUUGUAUAUCGUUGUUAAAAAAAUAUUUUUAAAUGAUUUUAAUAUUUAAAAAUUUAAAAUAAAAAUUAAAUCAGAUCAAGAUGCAGAUUAUAAUUAAGAAUAUAAUGGAUUACAAUAAAUUUAUUUAUAUGAAUAUUUAAUUGAAAUAUUAAAUUAAAAGUGGAUUUAAAUGUAAUUUUAUUUAAUUUAUUAAAAUGAUUAAAAAUUAAAAUAUGUACAUAUUGCCCGUCGCUUUCAUUUAUAAAUUGAAAUAAGUCGUAACAAAGUAGAGGUACUGGAAAGUGUUUCUAGAAAGAA
This 780-nucleotide non-coding RNA is filed under the name Eudemis lucina. The record is from RNAcentral. Lineage: Eukaryota; Metazoa; Arthropoda; Insecta; Lepidoptera; Tortricidae.